AACUUAUCCAGAGUGACUGAGGGAUCAGGCCCAAUGAAGUCCGGCAACCGCCAUGCAAAUGGAAAGGUGCUACUUCCUGCAGAAUGUAAUGAUUCUGAAAGAUAAGCC
RNAcentral lists this non-coding RNA (108 nucleotides) under Bacillus gobiensis. RNAcentral's name for it is "SAM-I sequence". It matches the Rfam family "SAM riboswitch aptamer (S box leader)". From Rfam's summary of the family: The SAM riboswitch is found upstream of a number of genes which code for proteins involved in methionine or cysteine biosynthesis in Gram-positive bacteria. The SAM riboswitch acts at the level of transcription termination control. The record is from Rfam by way of RNAcentral. Lineage: Bacteria; Bacillati; Bacillota; Bacilli; Caryophanales; Bacillaceae.